This is a non-coding RNA of Rattus norvegicus (Norway rat), 1629 nucleotides long. The record is from RefSeq and is a predicted model, not a curated record. Lineage: Eukaryota; Metazoa; Chordata; Mammalia; Rodentia; Muridae.
GGAAAUUACCUUCCAACAAAUCAGAUUAUUUUAGUUCAGGCUCACGAGAACCCACAAGGUCUUCGUUGCCGAAGAAAAGAACGAUUUUGCUUGUUGCUCCUGUAGCACGCGGUCGCCUCACUGACAGUAAACAAUAAAACCAGUGAGCAUGACGCCACAACGCGUGACGCCACAACGCGUGACGCCACAAUGCGUGACGCCAUAACGCACGACGCCAUAACGCACGACGCCAUAACGCAUGACGCCAUAACGCAGUGCUGUUGGUGGCAGUCAUUGAGCAGCUGAAAGCAAAAUGAAGAAUGGUCCGUUUCCUAAGCAUGAGUAGUCACUGAAAUUCCGGUGUUCUCAGGUGGAUGCGGAUACAUUUUGGAGAAAGAAACAUGGAGGCAGUUUGGUCAACAGCUCUGAAUAAUUGCCCUGGAUGGUUCUUUGCACUUGUUACUACGAUUUGGAUGUGGUUUGUUCCCCAAAAACUCAUGUGUUCGGAGAUACGGUCUUCCAUGUCGUAAAGCAAUGGACCUUUAAGAGGUGGAGACAGGAAUAACUCCUCGUGUCAUCAGAGCCAUGCUUUUGGAAGGAUUUAUGAAACCCCGACCUUUCUGUAUAGAAAUGUGGUUUCUUCCAUCCACCGACCGUUCGGCUUGAGGCGUCGCCUAUCACGAUGUUAUCAGCAGGAUUGAAUGAGCAGCACUAUGGGCUAACCCCACCUCGUCGCUUUAUAAAGCUUACCUGCAGCAGGCAAUGAACUCUAGCAGAGAAAAGAGACUCAUCCGAUUGGCAGUGAACAAGUCGUGAGUGACUGAAGUUUGACUUGUUUCAGAGUACGGAGAGGAUGGUUGACUGCCAAAUCUGUCAAAACUUUAUCCGGGUUUGGAUCAGUUCCCUGCGGUGCAGCAGACUGACUUCUGCCAUGAACUGAUCAACAUCACGUGGCAAAGUUCUGACACAGAGUGGAUACAUGUGGUAGAGCCUCCCCUACACAGAACAGUCCUCGGAGCCCACAGAGACACAGAUACGCAGAAAACGCACGAUGUAUGUGUUACAUGAGGCAUGAGGAGAUGGAGAAGGGAAAAGAGUGUGCAGAAGAUGCUCGAAGGAACGAUGCGAUGUAGAAAUUAGAAAAUUAGGAAAUUAAAAAGCUGGCCCGUGGGUCCUAGUGGUGCACGUCCCUCCCUAUUAAACACUCUGAAGCUUAACAAUCACUCUUUGCAGACUAAGGGGAUGGGAUGACUUAGUGCUUGUCAAACUUCUGUCAGAAAGCCUAAUGUUCUGAGUUUGGUUUGCACACGUAUCAGGACCGAGUGAUCGAUGGUUAGGUACAAAGGACGCUGAAACAAGAUACUUUUAGGGACCCUCAAAAUAUUAACAUUUUUACGACCAGAAGGGAAAGAGAGAAUUUCAGAGACGAAGAUUAGGCUCACUGUCACCCACACAGUCAGACCAGUACAGACCAAUAGAGAGAAAGCUCUAAAUCACACAAUGGCCAAGACCUAAAAAAAACCCAGACCAAGACCUUGCCACAGCUACUGGGUUUAAAACAAAACGUUUUUUUCCCUCUCAUUCAAUUCACGUUUUCUUAAAUAUAUCCAAAAAGAAACUAGGACGGAAUACCAUUCCCAUAAAGAGAAA